Molecule: ribosomal RNA, 301 nt
Filed under: uncultured bacterium
Lineage: Bacteria
Description: partial 16S ribosomal RNA
Rfam family: Bacterial small subunit ribosomal RNA
Source: RNAcentral
CAGCCGCCGCGGUAAAACGAAGGGUGCAAGCGUUAAUCGGAAUUACUGGGCGUAAAGCGUGCGUAGGCGGUGAGUUAAGUCUGCUGUGAAAUCCCCGGGCUCAACCUGGGAAUGGCAAUGGAUACUGGCAAGCUAGAGUGUGUCAGAGGAUGGUGGAAUUCCCGGUGUAGCGGUGAAAUGCGUAGAGAUCGGGAGGAACAUCAGUGGCGAAGGCGGCCAUCUGGGACAACACUGGCGCUGAGGCACGAGAGCGUGGGGAGCAAACAGGAUUAGAUACCCCGGUAGUCCCUGUCUCUUAUAC